RNAcentral lists this ribosomal RNA (400 nucleotides) under uncultured bacterium. RNAcentral describes it as "bacterial SSU rRNA". It matches the Rfam family "Bacterial small subunit ribosomal RNA", at positions 355 to 772 of the family's 1533-position model. The record is from RNAcentral.
UCGGGAAUUUUGGGCAAUGGGCGAAAGCCUGACCCGGCAACGCCGCGUGAAGGAUGAAGUAUUUCGGUAUGUAAACUUCGAAAGAAUAGGAAGAAUAAAUGACGGUACUAUUUAUAAGGUCCGGCUAACUACGUGCCAGCAGCCGCGGUAAUACGUAGGGACCAAGCGUUGUUCGGAUUUACUGGGCGUAAAGGGCGCGUAGGCGGCAAUUCAAGUCAUCUGUGAAAUCUCCGGGCUUAACUCGGAACGGUCAGAUGAUACUGCUUUGCUAGAGUGCAGAAGGGGCAAUCGGAAUUCUUGGUGUAGCGGUGAAAUGCGUAGAUAUCAAGAGGAACACCUGAGGUGAAGACGGGUUGCUGGGCUGACACUGACGCUGAGGCGCGAAAGCCAGGGGAGCAAA